ACGUAAUUUUUAUGAAAUUUUUGUUCUUUAUUGUAUCAAGACAUCAAAGAAACUCAUCUCUAUUCCUGGAUGACUGACAUUAAGAAAAUGGCGCACAAGUGACAUUUGGAUAAAAAUACGAAAACCCACGCACACACAAGCACAUACAUACACGCAUGCAUGCAUAUAUACAAGAUUUAGAUACACAAAGAAUAAAGGAUGUAUUAUUUCUGAAAACUUAAUUUCAGGAACAGAAGCAAUCAUUUUUAAUGCAGUUGGCUGUAAUAAGUGAUCUUUCUAACGAAGAAAUCAAUGCCGUUAUAGAAGAAACUCUCUCAGAAACCAAAGGUGAUAAAAUUGCAAAAGACAAACUCAGUAAAGAACUUCAGAAAGAAUUAGAAAAAGCAAAAUCUAAUUUAGAAAAUGAAAAUUCGGGUGAAUGAAUCACUGUCGAAAGACAUCACUGAUACUCAUCAAUCAUGUUCUUGUCCUUGUUAUUACCUGCAGAAGGCUAAGGCACACAUACGCAUAGAACCAAAACCAUUACUUUUUGAAUAAACAUGCGACUGAUACCGAA
Long non-coding RNA from Octopus bimaculoides (California two-spot octopus), 556 nucleotides. Lineage: Eukaryota; Metazoa; Mollusca; Cephalopoda; Octopoda; Octopodidae. The record is from RefSeq and is a predicted model, not a curated record.